CCCUCAGUGUCUCCGCAGGUGCAGGGAGCACUGCAGUGCGGCCAGGGCAACCUGCAGCACUAAUUAGUGCUACUGUUAAUUGGGCUGCAGCGGGCAGAGAGAAAACCCUGCAUACUCCCCCAUGCCCAUCCAUGCUGGGGAACAGCUGGGCUCUAAAGCUGAUGUGGGUUUCUAAGCAGAUGGGGUUCCUCCUGUAUGGAAUGGGGGAUCCCGAGCUCACGGCUCCUGCUCAGAAAUCCUCAAUAUCAGGAUGAAAUGAAGCAGUGAGAAAUGAAUUCAUUCCCUUUUCUCCUAUUUGUAUGAAAGGAAAGACUAAUUAAAUAGCCCAAAUUAGAAACUUGAGUUCCUCAAAUUGCUUUGCUUUUCCAGCAAAUGUGGCCCCAGGGGAUGGCAGUCACAGGUGGCAUGGAGGGGUUGGGAAACAGGAGUAUCAUUCUGCAGGGGUACCCUUGAAAAGCUGAAAAACCCAUCGGUUUUGGCCAGCCUCCUAUAAGAGCAUCACAUUCCAGCAGGCUGCUUCUCAAGAAUAUAUGGAUAGAAUGAAUAGGGAUGGAGGAAGGCUUGAGAAUGCUGCCCAUCCUGCUUGCUCUCACUGCAGCAAGUUGGAGUCAUGGGAUGGUUGGUGUUGGAAGGGUCCCUCAAGGCCAUCAGGUCCAAGCCCUGCACUGAGCAGGGACACCCACAGCUCCAUCAGUGCUCAGAGCCCCUCCAGGUGACCCUGGGUGUCUGCACCACCUCUAUGGGCAGCUUGUGCCAUUCAGUGCCUCACCAUGUUCUUGAGUGAAGGGAAUGUGAGAAGUGUGGGAGAUGGAAAAGGGUCAGGUAGCACAUAUGUACCAUUCAGGCCUUCCAAACCCUUCAGAUUAUCACUUUGUAAGUUUAAUAGAUAGGGUACACAAAGGAACCGGUCUAACUAAACGGGGGAAGCCUUUUGUGUUAGGAACGACCGUAAUCUAAUACGACUCUUUGGCAUGAUUCAAUUAAAUCCUUUCUCUUCCAAUUAAACAAUCAGACAGAAUUUAAUAAAAACCAAUUUCUACGUGUCAUCCUCCGGAAUGAUGACCUCUGAGAUUGGAUGGGCUUGUGUAAGUUCUGCUGAUGGCUCUUUAUCUGCUUGUGUAGUCACCUCAACCAGACACAAAAUAGCCUUUAUGUUAUUUUCUCAUCUGCUCAGUGGAUCUCUGUUCUGUUUCAUUCAAUUCAUUCAUUCCUGAACUGUCGUUCCCAAUUGGAGAAGACCACCGAGAUCAUCUAGAUCAACUGUCAUCACCAUGGCCACUAACCCAUGUCACCAUUUCCCCUGUGAUAAGUGCAGUAAGACAUCCUUGUCUUUGUUGAGCUGUUUGGGGACUCCAAAACCGGAGCCAAUCCAGCUUAUAAAGUGUCUUGGGUGGGGGAACUGCAUCAUCGCAGCUUAAGGCAGCAAAACCAAGCUGAGUUCUAAACCCCCCACACUGACACAUCCCAGUUACCUCAGUGCAAACCUGAGGGAAUCCCAUUGGGAAGGGGGAGCUGAGAAAACUGUGAUCCGAGGUAUCUGCCUCUAGUAAAGCUGUGUUAUGAUAAUAGGAAGCAGACUUCUAGGCCCCUGGCAAACAAAUGGCUUCCAUAGCAUAUUUCACAGCUGAGCGCAUCAAUGGCACGGGCCUUUCUGCAGCUCUGUUAAACCCAACAUCUCUUUAAUGAAUUGCAGCAACCCAAAGUAUCCACAUUCUGCCUGUGCUUCAGCUUUUAUGGGAAGACAUUGGGUCCUCUCCCCACCGAGGAGCCUCCUCUAUCACAUAUCUAUCACAUAUCUAUCACAUAUCUAUCACAUAUCUAUCACUUAUCUAUCACUUAUCUAUCACUUAUCUAUCACAUAGUACCCAUGGAUCAUCCAGUCCAAGCCCACCCCACCCCCAUCAUGCCCACUAACCAUGUCUCCCGAUGCCACAUCCCCGUGUUCCUUUAACACCUCUCUAACAUUUGAACUUCUUGUCUUCCAAAAGCACCUUUCCAUCAUGGAAGAGAGAAACGGAGCAAAGAGAAUGCAAGUCAAGCCAAGUCGAUGUGAAAUGCCAUUUCCUCUUCCUCCCCAGUCAGAAAUGAGAGGGGAGAAGUGUUGUUGGCUUUUGUGUAAGCACGGGGUGAGAUUGAGUCCUACAGCAUGGAGCCAGCUCUUGGGAAAGCAGAAUGGGAAGUCCAUUGAGACAUCUGCUCUGCAGACCCAAUUUGCAUCUGCUCAGACACUAUUAUAAGGAUCAGAUAAGAGCUUAAAUGAAUGGGGAGAAUCUGAAGCUCCUUCGAUAGCAGGAAAUAAUUGCCAGGGAAAAAAAAAUCCUGUGAUCAAUCAGCAGACAAAUAUAUACUUAAAUUAGGUGUUAGUGGGACGGAUGCAAGUAAGGUGAUUAUGGGUUGCCUCUGUGUUUCCUUUGGCAACGAGGAUGACACACAGGGUAGGUCAAUGCACCCUAUCAUUAAUAAAGCAUCAGCAUUCCUCUGACGGCUUCUUUGUCCUGUGAAGUCAAUUCCUAUCAGGAUGUAACAUUAGCAUGGGGAAAUUCAGCCGCCUUUGAGUCUUCAUGACCCCCUUGAUGCUUGCAGAGGGCAGGUAGCAGGCUAGCCCUGUGCGGUCCUGUGUUGGGCAGGAGGCAGGAGCAAAGCCUUGCACCAGUGCCUAGGCUAUCCUGCUUUAGUGCAAUGCAAGAAUAUAAACCCAAACUACCAUGUUUGGGUAUUGCACUAUCACACGUUUGGGCUAAUCAUACUGAAAUCCACUGGUGGUUGAUGCACCCCAAUGAAACAGCCAGCCAUGGGAGCACAGGGUGCAUGCUUCUUUUAAUAAAGUUGGUUUAACUUCUGACAUACAUUAAAAAAUAAUAAUAAUCCAUAACUGCAAGCGUGAUAAAGUAUCUUAGUAUUAAAUCAAUACCGAGGCGAUUAGCAGCCUUUGAAGUAUUCCAGCCCUAACUCAGCCUGUGGCAGGAUGUCUCCAAGAGGACUGAGAGAUGCCUGGAGUUGGGAUGUUUGGAUGUGCUAAAAUGGAGCUGGAGAUAAGAACUGAUACUGAUGGUGGGAGGGCUUUAAGGAGAUGAUGCCCAUAAAACCUUUUGUUCCGGUGCAAGUGGAAAGAUAAAGCCUCUCCCAUUGAGAAGCCCAUUAUCAUUAAAGUUGGAAAGAACCAUGAAAUUCAUCUGGCCCAACCAUCAGCCCAUCCCCAAUGUGCCCACCCUUAGAAUCAUUAAGGUUGGAAAAGCCCUUCAAGUUCAUCACAUCCAACCGCUUACCCAUCCCCAUUACACCCAUGGAUCCAUGUGAUGGAGUCACUGGAAGAGACCACUACGAUCAUCCAGCCCAACGAUCAACCCAUCAAAGAUGAAGCUGUGUUGGCCAUUGUGCCCAACAGGGACUUCAAACCCAAGAGCUCUAGGAGGAAAAUCGAAUGAAGAUGUCAAAACAGUGCUACCUGUGCCUGGGGAAAAAGGAGGUGUGGUGACCCCAAACGCACAGCGCUCUGUGUGACGGGGAAGCUCUGCAUUGCCGUUGCAAUUAAGAAUCGCGUUGGGUGGGAGGUGGGCAAGGAAAAUCAGAGGGGGAAAACCCUGCAGCUGAGAAGAGUGGGGAGGAAGGAGGGAGCGUAGAGCAGAAAUAGACCCUAAUUAAGUCUUCCUGAAGCUUGCUUGAGAGCUAAUCCUCAAAUCUCGAGAUAUGCUGGGAUACAGAUUUACAUUGGGAUGGUGAAGGCUUGCUUUGGUUCCAUCAGUGCAAGAAAACAUAGAUUACACCUCCACAGUACACACUUCACUGAGCUUGGAGAGCAAAGCUAACAUUGUUUUUUAAAAGAAAACAGGGAUGAAUACUUAAAAAUAAUAAAAACUUGGUGAAUAUUCAUCUGAACUCUUAA
Molecule: non-coding RNA, 3883 nt
Organism: Coturnix japonica (Japanese quail)
Lineage: Eukaryota; Metazoa; Chordata; Aves; Galliformes; Phasianidae
Source: RefSeq, a predicted model, not a curated record